RNAcentral lists this unclassified non-coding RNA (317 nucleotides) under Hevea brasiliensis (rubber tree). The record is from RNAcentral. Lineage: Eukaryota; Viridiplantae; Streptophyta; Magnoliopsida; Malpighiales; Euphorbiaceae.
ACCAGCAUCAAAUUCCAUUUUAUCUGUUAUUAUGGCAUAGGCCUCCCUUGUCAACGCUGCUCUCCCAUAAAGAUUCACCAUACAAGCAUAGUGUUCCAUGAUGGGUUCUAUUCUAUACUUAUUUGUCAUCAAUGAAAAGAGUUUUUCCCCAUCCUCCACCAAACCCAGAUGAGCACACGCAGAUAGGAUCGACACAAAUGUGAUAUUAUCUGGCAAAACAACAUCCUUCUCCAUCCUCUCAAAGUAAGAUAACACUUCAGGGUCUUUACAAUGAGCAGAAAUUAUGGAAUUCCAUGAGACGACGUCCCUUUCCGGCA